CGUAGUCGUUGAUGGAGGCCGGAAGCGAGGAGGAAGCGGGAAGGUGGAAGAGAUCGGAAGAGUUUCAAACAAGGCCCGAUUCUCCUGAGGUCAGCUCGAUUUGCUCUCUAAUCCUGGGCGACGCAGGGUUCAAGGAUCUUCUGAAUCUCAUCCCAUUGUAGGAACUCCUGCUGUACUCAGAGAAUGUUGUUCAGAAGGGGAGACAGGCAAUAAAUAUAAGAUGAAGUUAUGAGGAGAGAAGCUAUUCAUAGCUAAAACUCUAGCUAAAAUGGCUAUUAUUUAUUGCACGGAACUGAAAUCGGAUGAAGUCGAGAAACCCAACGUACAAACCCAGAAGCUGAGAUACUACACAAGGGGACGUAUUUCAAGGACAAAUCCAAGGGUGUUUUGUUCUGUGUUGGCCCGAACGACUGCAUGUUGUUGUCAUCAUUGCCAUGGAAAGUGCCACUGGAAUGAAAGGGGUUGCCAUCAAUGGGUCUUUUUAUGGUUACUGAGCUGCGGAGCGAACCUGUUUGAGCUGGAAUAAUGGAUACAGUGGAUUCCCCAGCUAAUUCCAUGCAAGUUUAGUCCCAUUUUAUAGUUCCAGUUGCCUUCAACUAAAACAAGAUGGUAACUUUGAGAUUAUUCAUUACAUAAGGCAGAAAAUAAAUCUUGUAUUAAUGCUGUCUAUAGUGAAAAAAAAAAGUAUGCUUUCUGAUACAAAGAGAAUUUGGUGCUGGAAAGAAA
Molecule: long non-coding RNA, 726 nt
Organism: Herpailurus yagouaroundi (jaguarundi)
Lineage: Eukaryota; Metazoa; Chordata; Mammalia; Carnivora; Felidae
Exons: 4
Source: RefSeq, a predicted model, not a curated record